UAUUAUUCAAGAAGAAUGCCAAUUUCAAACCAGCUAUAUGUACCCCAAUGACUUCCCCCCAGUUUACCGGAAGUUGAUAACGCGCCACAGCACAGCAAGGCAUGGUCUGAAUUUUCAGAAAUUAUCCGUAAAUGGCAAACAACAGAGUAUUGCAAUGGGCAACGUUUGCUCGCACAUGGUGGAUAUAUGAUGCUAACUGCCAGUGCCCCCUCAAGUCAGCCAAAGUCCUGGUGCCCCAUCUCCAGGGGAAGCACAAGCCGAUAUAUCACCCACUGAGUGAUAUCGGUGACCAUGUUGUUGUCAUUAACACAAAGCACAUCGCCAUGAAGGGAGACUACUGGAGGAAGUGGCGGUAUCAUCAUCACACAGGGCAUGGGGGCGGCUACACUGCCACGUCAGCAUGGAGACUACACCAGCUGGAUGCCACAAAGGUCGUGUACAAAGCUGUGUACAGCCGUCUCCCCGGCAACCUGCUCAGACACACCCUGAUGAGGAGACUGCAUCUUUUUGAAGAGGAGAAUGUCCCUGAGGAGAUCCUGGCAAAUGUUACCGGUCAGAUCCGUCAAGUGAUGCCGGUGCCAAAACGAUAUGAUGAAUACACAGAGGAGGAAAGGAGAACAUUCCCAAGACUGUUUGACUGGCCUGAAGAUCAUGUACUGGACCUCGGCAAGAAGAAGAAUGACCCAGUGUAGUGGGAGCUGUCAUGUAGGAUAUAACUACAAGGAAAUGUGGACACCUUGCGGCUGAAACAUGGAUACAGAUCCCCUUGGUCCGUCUGAGUGUCUAGUGGGGUGUGGACGUAUGCAGCAUAUAUGACACAUUGAUUGUGACUGUGAUAACCCCUCUGAAAACAUGUGGACCUUGUGUGGAAUCUUAUAUGUCAUAUUCAUGUGCGUGUUUGUGUGUAGAAAUAACUGAGAAACUGUAUGUGUGUUAUAGUAAAUAAACCAGAUGUUGACAUGUUACAAGAAGCUGUGUGUGUGUUAUAGGAAAUAAACCAGCUGUUUACAAGGCGUCCUUGCAAGAAGCUCUGUGUGUGUUAUAGGAAAUAAAACAAUUGUUUACAAGGCAUCCUUGCAAGAAGCUGUGUGUGUGUUAUAGGAAAUAAACCAGCUGUUUACAAGGCGUCUUUGCAAGAAGCUGUAUGUGUGUUAUAGGAAAUAAACUAGCUGUUUACGAAGCGUUCUUGCAAGAAGCUGUAUGUGUGUUAUAGGAAAUAAAACAGCUGUUCACAAGGCGUCCUUGCUAGAAGCUGUGUUUGUGUUAUAGGAAAUAAAACAUGUUUACAAGG
Molecule: unclassified non-coding RNA, 1291 nt
Filed under: Haliotis rufescens (red abalone)
Lineage: Eukaryota; Metazoa; Mollusca; Gastropoda; Lepetellida; Haliotidae
Description: 39S ribosomal protein L13, mitochondrial-like, transcript variant X1
Source: RNAcentral